Molecule: long non-coding RNA, 1476 nt
Filed under: Homo sapiens (human)
Lineage: Eukaryota; Metazoa; Chordata; Mammalia; Primates; Hominidae
Description: HSALNT0178793
Source: RNAcentral
GGGAUUAUGGCAUUAUUCAUUCAUUCACAUAUUCACUCAUUCAUUCAUAUACUGAGGAUUGUUGCUGGAUAGAAUACAAUAAUGAUUCAGAAGCAAAUCCUGCUUUUGGGAAGCUCAUAGGCUGGCAAGAAAAACAAGACAUAGCCACGGAGAACUAUAAUGUUUGGCAGUUUUGUAAGAGAGAUGCAGACAGAACCUAAUGUGUGGACAGAGGAUGGAGAGAUCGCCAUGGCUGACAAAUCAUGGAAGACUGCCUUGCAGCAGACUUUGUAUAAGUGCAUCUCCUGGCUGUCCACCGGUAUGUGGAGCUUGAUCAUUUCCUGGGCUGCCUUUCAGGAAGGCCCAGGUGGAAUUAAAUGCAGAGUGCCUCUGCUUCUGUUGGAUUUCCCCCAAACUGACCACAGAUCAAGGAGAUAAGAUGAUGCCUUGAGUUAAGUCAGGUUCCAAAACAACAACACUGACUGCAGAGAACUGCAAAGGUAGCAGGAAACCACCCUCCUCUCUGGCAAGGAGUGUUAGUUUUUGUCUUUCCCUUCUCGGCUAAGCCGUGGUACCCGGAGCAGUGGAUACAGAAACCCGGGAGAAAAUCUUCUGGAUACCCAGGAACCUGCUGGGUCCCUGAAGAAUGUCAGUGAGAAACUCAGCGUUCCUGUGCCCUGGGCUGACCCCCUGUUUAGGGAAGGCAGCCCAGAGGGCUCCUAAUGCACUCAGAACUGUAUCAUCGCACCUGCAGCCUGGAGGAGAUGACCUUCCAUCAAGACGCCUGCUAUUAAAACUUUGUUUAAGGAAAAUAAAAAGAUAUCCUCAUUCUAAACAUGGGACACAGUGAUAGGUGUGUUCUGUACUUGACAAUCAAGGGUUCCAGUUUGCUGAGGGGAAGCCUGGCACAGUGGCAAGAGGUGGAGCUUUGGAAGCAGAGUGGGGCUGAAUCACAACUCACCCAGUCACCAGCUGUGCAGCGUUGGCCAAACCACUUAGCUUUUUACAUUUCUUUAUUAUUAAAUAGGAAUAAAAAUAAUGGACUAGAGAGAAUAAGUACCUGACCCUUAGUAUAUACAUAAUAAUGUAGAAUAAUUUCUUCUAGUCUUAAAUGUUCAACAUCAUGGGCAUUGCUUUCUCAGGGAGGUAGCUUUCCUCCUCACAAAUUUACCAAUUGAAGGAAUGAAUCUUUAGAGAAAAAAUGCUGAAACUACAGCAAGCUAUUCCUGUCCUUCAGCUAGCUCUUAUGUCCAGUGUCUUAUAAUUAUUCAUCUUUACAACUUUCUUUUCCACCAGACUGGGAGCUCCUUGAAGACAGUGACCACUAUGUCUUCAAUUCUCAGCACAUAGUUCUUUCUACCUCAGCUACCUUAUUUUGAGAUCUGUACAAACUACAGAGUCUGUAGUUCUUCUGGGAUUUUUAUGCUCCCAGCCUGGUUUGAAGAGUGACUUUAAGCAACACCUUUAGGAGCACAUCCAAUCUUCUGAAAACCAUCU